AGGAGCCACCUCCUCCCGCCCGCACGGCGCCUGUGCCUGGGUCCCGGCGACCCUCCUCAGGGCCACCGAAAGGUCUUGGGGCUUGGGGCGGGGGCGGGGGGGGCGGUCCCUGCCCGUGGGAGCCUCCCCGGCCCCGCAGUCCCAGCAGCAAACUGCGCUUGGUCGGACGGGAUGCCCGCGCAGAGGGAAGUUGAGAGAAGGUAUGCCUUUGGAGACUGGAAACCUGGAGGUCAUUUCUGAGCAAGAAUUCCGGGAAUCCUAAAGGUCUUCAAUCUCUGCUCGCAGCACCUGGGUAGACAUGGUUCCAGGGAGGAGCCUGAGUGGGUGAUUCAGUUCCAGAGCCGCAGUAGUAGCACCACCCAAACUUGGAAAAAGAAUCAUGUUGAUCGCCAGAGAAGGAAUCUCAUCGGAAGUAGACUUCAUUCAGAGGGGCGCCAGUAGCAAAGAGGCUCCUGGAUUGCAUCCUGACUGCCCUGGAGGGAGGAUGUGACCAUUGGUGUAGGAGGCGACGAGACAACCUGGUCAGCAGAGAUGUAUCACAGCGGUACACUCUCCCAGCACUUUCCCACCCACAACCCGCGUCAGACCUGGCUUCAUCUUUAAUCCUCCAGCCUUGGGAAUGACAGACCUACCUCAGAGGUCUUGCCUGCCCUCGCGCCCUCCCCAACCCCCCACCGCGUCCCGGAUUCCUGUGGUGCAGUGCGGGGGGGGGGGGGCUUGUGUUCACUCACAGAGGCCGUCAGACACGGUGCGCGGUAGUUUUCUUCACUUUAGAAGGUAGCAAACUGUUUUCAAAGGUGGGAUAUUUUCAGAAGAAGGAUUCCAAGAAUCAUUCCCCUAGAUAUCGGGCUCUGUGGGACGCGCUGGGCGUAGGUCUGUUCAGGUCACAGAGCUUCGCAAGCCUAGCCCGCAGAGAGCUGUUCUUUUAGUGGUGCUGAAAGCGAGGCCAGCUCUGCCGAGUUGCCUACAAGCUGUCUAUAACUCAGCCACUACCCUCCUUCCUGCUUAGAGUCACAGGCUGAAUGGUUCACUAUUGUCUGGCAACAAAUCGCGGUAGCCACCUAAUAGAUCUGAUUGUUUCCAGUUACAAUGUCCCCCUUCCCCAAUCCUUUCUUCACUGAGCACCGAGUGAUCUUUCCUUGUUGGUUUGAGUGUUUAAAAAUUAUGCUUAUCUAUCUAUCUAUUUUUUUUUUCGAGACAGGGUUUCUAUGUGUAGCCUUGGCUGUCCUGGAACUCUGUCCACCAGGCUGGCCAUAAACUCAGAAAUUUGCCUGCCUCUGCCUCCCAAGUCUUGGGAUUAAAAGCAUGCCUGGAUGCUUAAUUAUUAUUAUUUUUUUAAAGUGUGGGGUAUAUUUUCUGCUUGCAUAUAUGGUGCCCAAGGAGGCCUGAAGAGGGCAUUGAAUCUUCUGGGACUGGAAUUGCAGAUGAUUCUGAGCCAUCCCUCAGGUGUGUGUGUGCUAGGACUCAAACCUGUUUCUCUGGGAGAUUAGCCAGUGCUCAAAGCCAUUGAGCCAUCUCUCCAGCUCCUCUCCUUUUGUUCAGACAUGCCCCAUGUAUCACAGGCUGAGGCUGACCCGGCAAUUCUGAGCCUCUGACUUCCACCAGCUAGGAUUGCAUGAGGCCAGUGUGUGCAUGCUCUUCUCGCUCCCUCUCGGGAUGCACGAGCCAGGCUCGUGCUAGCCUGCUAAGCUACACCAGCAGCACUAGAGCAGCUCCGACUCCCCUCACAGUCUCUGCUUCCCUUCCCUUCUUUUCUUUUCUCUUUUCCUUUUUGAGACAAAGUCUCGGUUUAUAGCCCAGGCUGGCCUGAAACUUUCUACAUAGUCUGAGAUAGCCUAAAAUCUGCAGUCCUCCUGCCUGUGUCUUGCAAGUGCUUGGUUUACAGCUAUGGGUCACCAUGCCCAGCUAGAGUGGCAAUGAUCAAGGGGCAAAAGUGAUCACCCGUGAAGUCCAUCUAGUCUUGAUGUCAUGCAAAAUAAAGCAAAGUUCUUGCCACAGUGAAGAGGUUCCUUUCUCUGACAAUCAUCUAGUGCCUGCCUCCUAUCACCUGUCAAGAUGGAGCCACUGCCAAGCCCUGGCUUAAUUCUAGUGUGUUGAAGAUUUGACAUUAAGAUUCAACAGGGAACCUGGAUUGUGGUAAAUGCCUUUAAUCCCAGUACUCGGGAGGUAGAAACAGGCAGAUCUCCGAGCUCAAGCCAAGCCUGGUCCACAGAGUGAAUUCUAGGACAGCCUGGGCUACACAGAGAAACCCUGUCUCUAAACAAAACAACAAACAAACAAACAAGGAUUUGCCAAGAGGUGGGAGGUGAGUCAUGGGAAGAACUGUGAAGCCAGGCGGUCUGUGGUGGUGCUCAUUAUCCAGACCUGCGUGUCAUCCUCCAAAAGUACAUCACGGCGAGAUGGCAGGGAGGCUCUGGUAGCAUCCAAUGAUGCUGAGCAGAGUGAUUCUGCUGCUCAGGACUUUACCCACUUUCUGACAUGCUUUGCCCCUACCCCACGCCCGUUUCGGGGGAGGAAGCACAUGGCAGAUGUGAAGUGAGUGGCCCAGGGUCACACAGCUAGACAGUCACAACUCCGACUCCAGAGGAACAGGGAGCCCAGAGACUUCAUCUCCGGCAGAGGCGUGAAGGUGCCGACCCUGGGACCAGACAGCCUGUGUGUAAUCCCAACUCUGCCAGUUAAGGACUCAAUCUCCCCGUGGCUGUGUUUCCUCGUCAGAAGAGAUGGUGGUCCCCCUGCUAGCCUCACUGGGAAGACUGAGGAGAUAGUCCUGCAGUCAUCAGUGCUGUUCUGAAUCUGAGCUCCUCCCUGACCGUGGCGAGCAAGUCCAGAAGGCAGGCUGAGAAUUUCUUGCCUCAUCAUCCUGGAUGUGCGGGAGCCGAAAGGGCAGAGGACAGAGGAGGGGCCGCGUGACUGCCUAGGCUCCUAAGCAAUUUACUGGAGGAGCUCAUUUGGCAACUCUGAUUCCAAGUUAAUUAAAGAUGGCCACUAGGGGUCAUUGCCAUGGUGACAAUUAGGCCAGAAAGAAGCCUCAUUAAGGUGCGGUUUUAACUAGGCCAGUCGUUUUUAACCUAAGGUCUGUGGGAAAGGGAGUCAGCUUGCCCCCCCCCCCCCCUCUCUCCUCCGUGUUCAGAUCCGUUUCCAGGCAGUUCUGGCUGAGGAUGGAGGCAGAGGAGGAGUCCUGAGCUGAGCCCCCCUGAGUCCCAGCAGGGCAACAGGUUUCUCUGUGGCACUCACCCUGUCUGUGAGGCAGAAGCCUUAGGGUGGGUGGAGGCCAUGAUGCCAGAGCAGGCAGAGAAGAGGGGGAUUUUAUUCAGAGUGGCCCGGGAGACCUUAUCACCCAAUCUGCUUCCCAAACUGAGUGAGGGGAGCCAAGCCGAGCUGUGGGUGAUAAUGGAGCACAUGAAACUUAUUUCUUCUGUGUUGAAUUGAGAAUGCCAGGAGCUUAAAGCCUGUCUCAGUUCACAGCACUGUAAUGUGUUUGAGCUAGGCAUGGCGGUACCCACCUCCUAUCUCAGGACUAAGACAAGAAGAUAGUGACAUCCUGGCCAGCCUCCGCCACAUAGUGAGAUUCUGUUUCAUGGAGGUAGAGUGAGUGUGUGUGUGUGUGUGUGGGGGGGGGGGGGAACGACACAAGAGUAGUGAGAUGGCUCAGCCUUUAACUUGCUUCUCUCUCUCUCUCUCUCUCUCUCUCUCUCUCUGCUUUUUUGUUUGUUUUGUUCGUUUUAGCUUUUUGUUUGUUUUUUGUUUUGCUUUUUGUUUUUGCUGUUGUUGAGACAAGGUUUCUCUGUGUUAGUCCUGGAACUCACUCUGUAGAUCAGGCUGGCCUCGAACUCAGAAAUAUGUCUGCCUCUGCCUCCCAAGUGCUGGAAUUAAAGGCAUGUGCCACCACUGCCUGACAACUUGCUUCUCUUGAAGUGGGCCUGCCUGGGCUUGGUACUGGAACCCACAUGGUGGCUUAUGAAGUCUGUAACUCCAGUUCCAGGGAACCUGGUGCCCUCUUCUGGUCUUUAUGGGCACCAGACAUGCUUUUCAUGCAAUUAUCUACAUGCAAGUGAAAACUCUCAUACCCAUAAGAUAUAAAUAGAUUAAUCUCUCUUAAAGAAAUCAAGAGGCUGGGCUGAAGGGAUGCUGAGAGCACUGGCUGCUCUUCCAGAGGACCAGGGUCCAGUUCUGAUGCCUUCCUCAGGCCUCCCCAGAAACUGCAAGGGUGUGGUGUACAGACUUACACAGGACAAACAACCAUGCAUGUAACAAUAAGUAAAUAAAUACUUUUUUAAAAAAUCAAGGGGCUGUGGAAAUGCCUCAGUCAAUAAAGUAGUUUCCAUAGAGGCAUGAAGAACGGAGUUACAAUCUACAACCUCUACAUAAAAAACCAGGAGGACUGGUGGGCAUCUGUAAUCCCAGGGCUGGGUAGACAGAGCCAGGUACAGUUCUGGAGCUCACCGACUAAUACAGCCAAGUGAAUCCAUAUCAAUGAGAAACCCUGUCUCCAGAAAUAAAGUAGAAGAUUCGGAGAGAUGACCCACCAGCUAAAAGCGUUUGCUAUACCUGGGGACUGGGGUUUGGUUUACCAGCCCCACACAGUGGCUCACGACCAUCCAUAACUCCAAUUCCAGGGGAUCCAGUGACCUCGUCUGACCACCAAGGACAGAAAGCAUGCGUGUGGUGCACAUACACACAUGCUGUCAAAUCACAGACACAUGGAAAAGAAAAAACAAAGAAAUCUUUAAAAAUAAACAAGACGGAGAGUAACUAAGGAAGACCCUUGACUGCAUGCACGUGUCCAGUGUGCACCUGAAUAUGUCUGAGUUCACUCAACACACACAUAUGCAUAUGCUACACACAAAGAAGUAAAGAAUAUGUUCUCUGCUCAAUAGUGAUAUAAAUGCACUGAUGAGAACAGGAAGUCCCAGGUAAGCACAAAGAGAGACCACCCCCUGACAUACACCACCCUGGACACGAUGUCUGCUGACACUGUCCAUAUAGUAAGCAGAGCGCAGCCUACAGGGAGCUGGGUCCAAAGACUGGAGAAGGGGGACCUGGGUUUUGGUGUUUGUGACCUUUUCAACUGUUUGUACUUUAUCAGGAAAAUGUCAAAUAAACUGCAGUGGAAACACCAGCU
Molecule: long non-coding RNA, 5125 nt
Filed under: Mus musculus (house mouse)
Lineage: Eukaryota; Metazoa; Chordata; Mammalia; Rodentia; Muridae
Description: predicted gene, 35040
Source: RNAcentral